UACGUAGGGGGCUAGCGUUGUCCGGAAUCAUUGGGCGUAAAGAGCGUGUAGGCGGCCCGGUAAGUCCGCUGUGAAAGUCCAGGGCUCAACCCUGGGAUGCCGGUGGAUACUGUCGGGCUCGAGUCCGGAAGAGGAGUGUGGAAUUCCUGGUGUAGCGGUGAAAUGCGGCAGAAUAUCAGGAGGAACACCAAUGGCGAAGGCAGCACUCUGGGACGUGACUGACGCUGAGACGCGAAAGCGUGGGGAGCAAACAGG
This 255-nucleotide ribosomal RNA is filed under the name uncultured bacterium. Its description in RNAcentral is "partial 16S ribosomal RNA". It matches the Rfam family "Bacterial small subunit ribosomal RNA", at positions 524 to 776 of the family's 1533-position model. The record is from RNAcentral.